UGGAUACUUUAGGCGAGGAGUCAUACAAGGAUAGUACAUUGAUCAUGCAACUUUUACGUGAUAACUUGACACUAUGGACCUCUGAUAUUACGGAGGAUGCUGGGGAUGAGAUUAAGGAGGCCCCGAAGCGGGAUUCGGGUGAGGGUCAGUGAUAUAGUAACGCGAGGAUCUCUUAAUUCAAAUCAAGUCGGCUGCAUUGCCAUGUUACCCAGGGGUGUGUUGUUUCUGUAGUAUAGAUGUUAGCCGUCGUUCACAUAUUCCUGGGA
This 266-nucleotide unclassified non-coding RNA is filed under the name Hevea brasiliensis (rubber tree). Lineage: Eukaryota; Viridiplantae; Streptophyta; Magnoliopsida; Malpighiales; Euphorbiaceae. The record is from RNAcentral.